Molecule: ribosomal RNA, 1607 nt
Filed under: Salmonella enterica subsp. enterica serovar Berta
Lineage: Bacteria; Pseudomonadati; Pseudomonadota; Gammaproteobacteria; Enterobacterales; Enterobacteriaceae
Also listed under: 4 other names
Description: partial 23S ribosomal RNA
Rfam family: Bacterial large subunit ribosomal RNA
Source: RNAcentral
CUGUGUGUUGUUGGGUAGGGGAGCGUUCUGUAAGCCUGCGAAGGUGGCCUGUGAGGGUUGCUGGAGGUAUCAGAAGUGCGAAUGCUGACAUAAGUAACGAUAAAGCGGGUGAAAAGCCCGCUCGCCGGAAGACCAAGGGUUCCUGUCCAACGUUAAUCGGGGCAGGGUGAGUCGACCCCUAAGGCGAGGCCGAAAGGCGUAGUCGAUGGGAAACGGGUUAAUAUUCCCGUACUUGGUGUUACUGCGAAGGGGGGACGGAGAAGGCUAUGUUGGCCGGGCGACGGUUGUCCCGGUUUAAGCGUGUAGGUGUGUGUUCCAGGUAAAUCCGGUUCACUUUAACACUGAGGCGUGACGACGAGGCACUACGGUGCUGAAGCAACAAAUGCCCUGCUUCCAGGAAAAGCCUCUAAGCAUCAGGUAACAUCAAAUCGUACCCCAAACCGACACAGGUGGUCAGGUAGAGAAUACCAAGGCGCUUGAGAGAACUCGGGUGAAGGAACUAGGCAAAAUGGUGCCGUAACUUCGGGAGAAGGCACGCUGACACGUAGGUGAAGUGAUUUACUCAUGGAGCUGAAGUCAGUCGAAGAUACCAGCUGGCUGCAACUGUUUAUUAAAAACACAGCACUGUGCAAACACGAAAGUGGACGUAUACGGUGUGACGCCUGCCCGGUGCCGGAAGGUUAAUUGAUGGGGUCAGCGCAAGCGAAGCUCCUGAUCGAAGCCCCGGUAAACGGCGGCCGUAACUAUAACGGUCCUAAGGUAGCGAAAUUCCUUGUCGGGUAAGUUCCGACCUGCACGAAUGGCGUAAUGAUGGCCAGGCUGUCUCCACCCGAGACUCAGUGAAAUUGAACUCGCUGUGAAGAUGCAGUGUACCCGCGGCAAGACGGAAAGACCCCGUGAACCUUUACUAUAGCUUGACACUGAACAUUGAGCCUUGAUGUGUAGGAUAGGUGGGAGGCUUUGAAGUGUGGACGCCAGUCUGCAUGGAGCCGACCUUGAAAUACCACCCUUUAAUGUUUGAUGUUCUAACGUGGACCCGUUACCCGGGUUGCGGACAGUGUCUGGUGGGUAGUUUGACUGGGGCGGUCUCCUCCUAAAGAGUAACGGAGGAGCACGAAGGUUGGCUAAUCCUGGUCGGACAUCAGGAGGUUAGUGCAAUGGCAUAAGCCAGCUUGACUGCGAGCGUGACGGCGCGAGCAGGUGCGAAAGCAGGUCAUAGUGAUCCGGUGGUUCUGAAUGGAAGGGCCAUCGCUCAACGGAUAAAAGGUACUCCGGGGAUAACAGGCUGAUACCGCCCAAGAGUUCAUAUCGACGGCGGUGUUUGGCACCUCGAUGUCGGCUCAUCACAUCCUGGGGCUGAAGUAGGUCCCAAGGGUAUGGCUGUUCGCCAUUUAAAGUGGUACGCGAGCUGGGUUUAGAACGUCGUGAGACAGUUCGGUCCCUAUCUGCCGUGGGCGCUGGAGAACUGAGGGGGGCUGCUCCUAGUACGAGAGGACCGGAGUGGACGCAUCACUGGUGUUCGGGUUGUCAUGCCAAUGGCACUGCCCGGUAGCUAAAUGCGGAAGAGAUAAGUGCUGAAAGCAUCUAAGCACGAAACUUGCCCCGAG